Molecule: long non-coding RNA, 972 nt
Organism: Crotalus tigris (Tiger rattlesnake)
Lineage: Eukaryota; Metazoa; Chordata; Lepidosauria; Squamata; Viperidae
Exons: 5
Source: RefSeq, a predicted model, not a curated record
GCAGCUGAAGGCAGGAAAGGCUAUUUAUUCAGCCUUAAAGUCCAUGGGCACCAUACAGAUAUUAGUUCAAAUACAGAAAUGCUGUAACUGUCCUAUGACAUGACUGAGGUGGCAAAUUACAGGCAUUUUUUCUGGGUGAGGUUCUGGCAGGUGGAGUGGGAGGAAUGUUUAUAGCAGGGAUGGUCAGGAAUGGCCAGAUUGCACAGGUAACUGAGAUCCAUUCCUUAGGAGGGGCACACCAUUAAUCCCCAGUGACUUGCAUUUUAUAUUGCGCUGGCUGCCAACGUCUUCACACAUCUAGCUUAAAUCUGGGUGAAAUUUAUGAUGAGACACAGUUAUGCCUUUAUGAGGUUGGAUUAUCAAAAGUGUGGCCAAGCAAGUGGGAGGAAGGAGCAGAGUAUUCAAGUAGCUGUGUGAACAUUUAUACAAGCAAGUGACAAGUGAAGAUUCACAUGGGAUGAGUGACAAACUCCAAUGAGAUCAUCUUUCUGAAGAGAUAUAGGCAGGAGCUCUUUCUUCAAUCAAGCUGUCUUUUGUUUUCCUGUGCCAUAAAUCAUAAAAAUAACUUCCCUCUUCCAUGAAAUGAACAGACAAAAAUAUGUUGAAGAAAGAAACCUGGCCAUCACCAUAAGCCACCUUAGUCAAGCAGCAAUUUGUUUAAUUCUUCCAGCUUCUUUGUUCUCCUUGAUGAUGAUGCCAAAGGCCUGGCGUAUAUUAUCCAACUUGUGACUUUCAUGGCCUUUUGAACAUUGGGACUUCAGAAAUCUAUCAGGAGAAUUAUGCUUGCAGGGGUUCUGAUGAAAUCACUGGACAAUUUCCAUCAAUCUCUGCCGAGCCUAAUGUUCUGCACUAUCAAAUUAUAGAACUGUUAUUUUCCAAGUCUGGGAAUGCAAAUGCAAUCAUCAGCUCUCCAGAUCAAGGUACUUCUCCUGUGCUCCAGGAUUUUUGAAAGAUGUGGUGCAGUGGUUCUGA